GCUGCCAUCUUUCAGACCGCAUCGAACUCCUCCUUUCCGCCGCCGCCGCCGCCGCCGCAGCCAUUCAUGGCGAGGCGCCGCCGGGGAGGAUUCGAACAUUAAUCCAUGCUAUUCCCCACCCGUCCCUGUAAAUCCCAAGCUCCUGCCGCCGUAGCUGCUAUCUGCAGCCUCCGCCCCUCCUCCUCAUCGCCGGCGCUUAUUCCUUCCCCGUAUCACGACGACAACCCAUUCGCCUCACUACUCACUUCCGAUCCCCCUCCGCCGGAUCCGCUCCGCCAGGUUCUCGCCACGGGAGACGUCCACGGCGCGCUCCGCGGCCUCCCUGGCCUCGCUCGCCAGCUGUUCCGGUGGGCGGAGGGCACCCCUCACGGUUUCCCCCGCUCCGCCUCCGCAUUCGCCGCCGUCCUUGUCCCGCUCGCUGAGGCCAGGCGCAACCGCUCCGCUUAUCCCGUCUCCCUCCGCGCUAUCCAGGCUGGCCUUCUCCUUCCCCUCAUCUCUCUCCUCCUCACGUAUCCCCUGUCCCCCUCCUCCCACCACCUCCUCAACUUCCUCUUACGCAUGUCCACCAAGUUUGUGCCCGAAUGCCAAGCUCAGGACCCUGCGCCCACCAGCUGUUCGACACAAUGCCUUUCCGCCUUCCAAGAGAUGGCGCGUCAAGGUGUCGCCCCUUACGUCAAGGUGUGCAACUGCGUGCUCUCUGUGCUGUGCGACGCGGCCAGGUGGGACGACAUGCGUGCUGUGUAUUCAGAUAUGCUUCAGCUUGGGGUUGAGCCAUCCAUUGUCACAUACAAUACAUUGCUGGAUUCUUUUUGUAAGGCAGGGAGGAUCGAUCAGGCUGUCAUGCUGCUCAAGGAUAUGGAGGCCCAAGUUGCUGGCUGCUUGCCGAAUGAUGUCACCUAUAAUGUGGUGAUCAGUGGGCUGGCCAGGAAUGGUGAGCUGGACAAGGCGGCUCAACUGGUUGACAGAAUGCGGUUGUCCAAACAAGCGUCAGCCUUCACAUAUAAUCCACUUAUCAGUGGGUUGUUAGCAAGGGGUUUUGUUGAAAAGGCUGAUGCUUUGCAGCAGGAGAUGCAGAAUGAUGGCAUUGUGCCAACGGUGGUGACAUACAAUACAUUGAUUCAUGGGUUAUUUAAAAGAGGGAACGUGGAGGCGGCAGAGUUGAAAUUUCUGGAAAUGAGGGCAAUGGGGUUGCAGCCAGAUUUGAUUACUUACAAUUCCUUGAUAAAUGGACAUUGUAAGGCAUGUAAUUUGAAGCAGGCACUUUGGUUGCUUGGUGAUUUGAGACGUGCAGGGCUAGCACCGACAGUUAUGACAUAUAACAUCCUUAUAGAUGGCUAUUGUAGAUUAGGUAAUUUAGGGGGGGCUAUGAGAUUCAAGGAGGAGAUGAGAGCAGAGUGCUGCCUGCCCGAUGUUUGUACAUAUACUAUUCUUAUGAAUGGGUCAUGUAAGGUCAAGAACAUUGCUAUGGUAAGGGUGUUCUUUGAUGAAAUGCUGAGUAAGGGUUUAAAGCCAGACUGCUUUGCUUACAACACAAGGAUUUCAGCAGAGCUGACUCUAGGUGCUAUUUCCGAUGCUUUUCAGUUGAGGGAGGAGAUGAUGCCGAGUGGAAUUUCUUCCGAUACAGUUACAUAUAAUAUUCUUAUUGAUGGACUGUGCAAGGCUGGUAGCCUGAAAGAUGCCUAUGUGUUGUGGAUGAAGAUGGUCAGUGAUGGGUUACAACUUGACUGUGUCACAUACACUUGCUUGAUUCAUGCACAUUGUAAGUGGGGGCUUCUAAGGAAAGCAAAUAAUAUUUUUCGUGGCAUGGUUGCAAGUGGUUUGUCACCCUCGGCUGUGACCUAUACCAUUUUUAUUCACACAUACUGUAGGGUGGGAGAUCUUGAUUCAGCAUAUGGCUGGUUCCGGAAGAUGCUGGAAGAAGGAGUGGAACCUAAUGAAGUAACAUAUAAUGUGCUCAUGAAUGCACUAUGCCGGAUAGGGAGAACUGAAUUGGCUUAUCAAUAUUUUCAUGAGAUGCUGGAGAGAGGAUUGGUGCCAAACAAAUACACAUACACUUUGUUGAUAGACGGGAACUGUAAAGAAGGUAACUGGGUGGAGGCUGUAAGGCUGUACUGUGAAAUGCAUCAGAAAGGUAUUCAUCCAGACCAUUGUACACAUAAUGCCUUGUUUAAGGGAUUUGGCGAAGAUCACAUGCACGACACAAUUCAGUACUUGGAGAAUGUUGUUUUGGGUGCAUAGGACGGUCUUCAAGAAAGAUGACAGACGGAAUUUGGGGUGACACUCUGGAUAAAGGAGCUAUGUGAUUUCCAGACAGAUAACACAAACAGGUCCUUCUCUUGCUGUGUGAACUUCCUCACAAUUUCCCCCUGGUCAUAUGCUCAUGGUCAUGGAGAAACAACCCCCAUUGUUUUUUCUUUUCUUUCGAUAAGGCAUAAUGGAAAUCUUUUGACCAUGCCUCCCCAGUAUCUACUAUCUCAAAAGUGAAUGGCUAUGGACCUUUUGGGCUGAGCUUCAACAAUAACAUAUAGGCUUUCUCUUGGUAAGAUACUACCAAGAAUUUUGUAAAACGAAUAAUCCUUGUACCACAGAUUCACGGUCAAUUUUGCCAUAGUCAUCUGACACACACAUUGACUUGUCAGAUAUGUAACACUGUUCCCAUUCUUUGGAUCAUUUAAUGGAUUCUCUUCUUCUCAAUGAUUAGUAUGGUGGGUGGAGGGGAAUUUUUGUCUCAACUCUCAACCGAUUGUGGAGCGGCUUGGCAGGAGGGGACUGCCGACCUACGGCAACUGCAUUCUUCUCAUUACACCGUGAAACCACCGAUCACCUUUUGACCGGUUUUGGAGGAAUUGCUGCCCUGGAGAGGUCUACUAGCCUGCACUCCAACGCUAGGGUGUGAAUUCGGUCCUUGGUGGAUUGAGAAACAUGAGGGGAUUCAACGCCUUUGUCCUGUUGAUAGCCUGGACAAUUUGGAUUUUUUUCUGAUAUGGUUUCCAGUGAAAAAGCCUAACCUGUUAAGCAGCUAGUGAGGACAGUCAAAGACUAUAAUGCGCUAGGUGGUGUGAGGCUGGCUAUAGCGAGAUGAGAAAGGCUGCUUGUUCGUGGUGGUUUAGCAGAAAUUAUUUAGCCUUCCCUAGCUAGCCAUGCUUCCGUAUGGUCUGUUUUUUUUUCCUCUUUCUUUUACCCUUUCUUCCUGUGGCUUGAUUCAAUCCAAAUUCGGCAGUUUGUUGCUCGGUUUGGGGCAAAGUUGUAAGUGUUGUUUCCUAUCCUAAUAUAAUGCCAUGCAGGCGUACUGCAUGUUCUCUAAAAAA
This is an RNA transcript of Triticum dicoccoides, 3308 nucleotides long. It is a transcript of the gene named pentatricopeptide repeat-containing protein At1g22960, mitochondrial-like, with no coding region annotated. NCBI's taxonomy places the organism in Eukaryota, Viridiplantae, Streptophyta, Magnoliopsida, Poales, Poaceae. The record is from RefSeq and is a predicted model, not a curated record. The transcript has 3 exons.